This 306-nucleotide ribosomal RNA is filed under the name Shigella flexneri. Its description in RNAcentral is "partial 23S ribosomal RNA". It matches the Rfam family "Bacterial large subunit ribosomal RNA", at positions 2584 to 2884 of the family's 2925-position model. Lineage: Bacteria; Pseudomonadati; Pseudomonadota; Gammaproteobacteria; Enterobacterales; Enterobacteriaceae. The record is from RNAcentral.
CCAUUUAAAGUGGUACGCGAGCUGGGUUUAGAACGUCGUGAGACAGUUCGGUCCCUAUCUGCCGUGGGCGCUGGAGAACUGAGGGGGGCUGCUCCUAGUACGAGAGGACCGGAGUGGACGCAUCACUGGUGUUCGGGUUGUCAUGCCAAUGGCACUGCCCGGUAGCUAAAUGCGGAAGAGAUAAGUGCUGAAAGCAUCUAAGCACGAAACUUGCCCCGAGAUGAGUUCUCCCUGACCCUUUAAGGGUCCUGAAGGAACGUUGAAGACGACGACGUUGAUAGGCCGGGUGUGUAAGCGCAGCGAUGC